GCCGAUGUGGUGAAACUGGUAUACACGCCUGCCUUAGGAGCAGGUUCCUUCGGGAGUGAGAGUUCGAGUCUCUCCAUCGGCA
This 82-nucleotide transfer RNA is filed under the name Candidatus Magasanikiibacteriota bacterium. RNAcentral's name for it is "tRNA-Leu". It matches the Rfam family "tRNA". Rfam says of the family: Transfer RNA (tRNA) molecules are approximately 80 nucleotides in length. The record is from RNAcentral. Lineage: Bacteria; Candidatus Magasanikiibacteriota.